AGGAUAAACGCUGGCGGCGUGCCUAACACAUGCAAGUCGAACGCGCUUUCGGGCUUCGGUGCGAGAGCGAGUGGCGGACGGGUGAGUAACACAUGGGUACCUACCUUGGAGUGAGGGAUACCGGCGAGAAAUCGCCGACAAUACCGCAUAGGCUUCUUCACAAGGGAAGCAAAGUGACGCGAGUCACGCUUUGAGAUGGGCCUGUGGCCGAUUAGCUAGUUGGGGGGUAACGGCUUCCCAAGGCGACGAUCGGUAGCUGGUCUAAGAGGACGAUCAGCCACACUGGGAUUGAGAACGGCCCAGACUCCUACGGGGGGCAGCAGUGAGGAAUUUUCCGCAAUGGAGGCAACUCUGACGGAGCAACGCCGCGUGCAGGAGGAAGGUUUUCGGAUCGUAAACUGCUUUUUCUCGGGGACGAGCAAGGACGGUACCCGAGGAAGAAGCCCCGGCUAACUACGUGCCAGCAGCCGC
Molecule: ribosomal RNA, 471 nt
Filed under: uncultured bacterium
Lineage: Bacteria
Description: SSU rRNA
Rfam family: Bacterial small subunit ribosomal RNA
Source: RNAcentral